This 425-nucleotide ribosomal RNA is filed under the name uncultured bacterium. RNAcentral's name for it is "bacterial SSU rRNA". It matches the Rfam family "Bacterial small subunit ribosomal RNA", at positions 354 to 796 of the family's 1533-position model. The record is from RNAcentral.
GUGGGGAAUAUUGCACAAUGGGCGAAAGCCUGAUGCAGCAACGCCGCGUGAGUGAUGAAGGUCUUCGGAUUGUAAAGCUCUGUCUUCUGGGACGACAAUGACGGUACCAGAGGAGGAAGCCACGGCUAACUACGUGCCAGCAGCCGCGGUAAUACGUAGGUGGCAAGCGUUGUCCGGAUUUACUGGGCGUAAAGGGUGCGCAGGCGGAUAUUUAAGUGGGAUGUGAAAUCCCCGGGCUUAACCUGGGGGCUGCAUUCCAAACUGGAUAUCUAGAGUGCAGGAGAGGAGAAUGGAAUUCCUAGUGUAGCGGUGAAAUGCGUAGAGAUUAGGAAGAACACCAGUGGCGAAGGCGAUUCUCUGGACUGUAACUGACGCUGAGGCACGAAAGCGUGGGUAGCAAACAGGAUUAGAAACCCCAGUAGUCC